This 112-nucleotide ribosomal RNA is filed under the name Loxodonta africana (African savanna elephant). Lineage: Eukaryota; Metazoa; Chordata; Mammalia; Proboscidea; Elephantidae. The record is from RNAcentral.
GCCUGCAGCCAUACCUCCUUGGCAGUGAUCCCAUCAGAUUUUACAAGCCAGGCAGGGUCGGGGCUGGUGAAAAUAUGAAUGGGAAUGCCCAGAGCAACAAAAGCAGCAGGCA